This 581-nucleotide ribosomal RNA is filed under the name uncultured bacterium. RNAcentral's name for it is "bacterial SSU rRNA". It matches the Rfam family "Bacterial small subunit ribosomal RNA", at positions 102 to 679 of the family's 1533-position model. The record is from RNAcentral.
ACGGGUGAGUAAUGUCUGGGGAUCUGCCCGAUAGAGGGGGAUAACCACUGGAAACGGUGGCUAAUACCGCAUAACGUCGCAAGACCAAAGAGGGGGACCUUCGGGCCUCUCACUAUCGGAUGAACCCAGAUGGGAUUAGCUAGUAGGCGGGGUAACGGCCCACCUAGGCGACGAUCCCUAGCUGGUCUGAGAGGAUGACCAGCCACACUGGAACUGAGACACGGUCCAGACUCCUACGGGAGGCAGCAGUGGGGAAUAUUGCACAAUGGGCGCAAGCCUGAUGCAGCCAUGCCGCGUGUAUGAAGAAGGCCUUCGGGUUGUAAAGUACUUUCAGCGGGGAGGAAGGCGAUGUGGUUAAUAACCGCAUUGAUUGACGUUACCCGCAGAAGAAGCACCGGCUAACUCCGUGCCAGCAGCCGCGGUAAUACGGUGGGUGCAAGCGUUAAUCGGAAUUACUGGGCGUAAAGCGCACGCAGGCGGUCUGUUAAGUCAGAUGUGAAAUCCCCGGGCUUAACCUGGGAACUGCAUUUGAAACUGGCAGGCUUGAGUCUCGUAGAGGGGGGUAGAAUUCCAGGUGUAGC